RNAcentral lists this ribosomal RNA (404 nucleotides) under Actinomycetes bacterium. Its description in RNAcentral is "Actinobacteria bacterium partial 16S ribosomal RNA". It matches the Rfam family "Bacterial small subunit ribosomal RNA", at positions 355 to 776 of the family's 1533-position model. The record is from RNAcentral. Lineage: Bacteria; Bacillati; Actinomycetota; Actinomycetes.
UGGGGAAUAUUGGACAAUGGGCGCAAGCCUGAUCCAGCCAUGCCGCGUGAGUGAUGAAGGCCCUAGGGUUGUAAAGCUCUUUCACCGGUGAAGAUAAUGACGGUAACCGGAGAAGAAGCCCCGGCUAACUUCGUGCCAGCAGCCGCGGUAAUACGAAGGGGGCUAGCGUUGUUCGGAUUUACUGGGCGUAAAGCGCACGUAGUCGGACUUUUAAGUCAGGGGUGAAAUCCCGGGGCUCAACCCCGGAACUGCCUUUGAUACUGGAAGUCUUGAGUAUGGUAGAGGUGAGUGGAAUUCCGAGUGUAGAAGUGAAAUUCGUAGAUAUUCGGAGGAACACCAGUGGCGAAGGCGGCUCACUGGACCAUUACUGACGCUGAGGUGCGAAAGCGUGGGGAGCAAACAGG